Molecule: long non-coding RNA, 1459 nt
Organism: Cyprinus carpio (common carp)
Lineage: Eukaryota; Metazoa; Chordata; Actinopteri; Cypriniformes; Cyprinidae
Exons: 5
Source: RefSeq, a predicted model, not a curated record
UCCACCUCAUUUCUUAAAUUAAAAUUUAAUAAUUAUGAAAUUGUGAAAUUUGUACAUUUGUGUAUAAUUAUACACUUUGAAAUUAAACAUCUCAUCUCAUAUUGUUCAGUCUUUGUUGGUGCAGUUGAAACAAAUGGAGAAAGUCAUGUAAUGUUUUGGGGGGCAAUGAGCUGAAUCAGCCUCUGUUAGACGGCCUGGCCGGAGGAUGGAUGGAAGAGGACUUCUGGAUGCUGGUGGGCUGGGUUCAACUCCGAACUGAGAGGAUUUGAAGCCGUGUUUUGUUCCAGUAAGGUCCGAUACCAGUAGAAAGAAAGUCACAGAUUUGGGACAACAUGAGGCCACCAACGGAGGGCGAUGUUUCCCAUGAAAUGAAUCGUUCCUCUUCAUCUAUGAAGCUAAAUGGAAAGAAUGUCAACAAGGUUGUUUCCCCUGCUCAUAAACUGCUUCCAGAUUACCAUACUUUCACAAUAUGCACUCAAAUCGUUGAUGAAGUCCUUAUUUCUUGACGGAUGAUGACGUAUGCUCUGUAUUUAUUGAGAAGGUCAGAUCUCAUAGAAGAGCAGCUCGUGCACGGGUGGAGCAGAAGGAGAGAAGGAAUGGAGUUAAAUUAAGGAUAUCAUUGGACUGACAGUGAUCUGGGCAGCUCUCGAUAAGAUCCUCGGCUCUGCGGAGCGCCAGACGACGUGAGAAGGUCUGGCGGCGGGAUGGGGAUGGGGAGGGGGAAGGGGGCAGUUAAAAGUUUUCCGAGCCGUCUUCCCCCUUCAAUUUGCAUGCUUAAUGAUGCUGAGCAGGAGUUAAUAGUGGGUGUAAUGGCUUCUGACUGACCGGGCUCUGGAGUGGACCACAGGCUGGGCCACCGGAGCAGGGGUGGGGAGGGGUUAACGCACACCAUACGGCUCUGCACUCGCUCGCUCGCUCUCUCCCUCUGCCUCUCUCUGCUGUCUUUUGUGAGAUAACAGAGCUUGCCGCUGUGGCCUUGUCUUAUUAAACAUGUUAUCAUUGCCUGUAACCUUUCUCUCCAGUCCCUUCCUUUUCAAAAUAGAGGAAAAGCUGCCUUUGUCUGUUUUUAUUCAGGGACCUAUCUGACCCACUGCGAGAGGAGAAAGAGACCUGAAAGAAAUCAAAUGGCAAUUUCUGUCUACAUUAAUGUGGUCCUUUGUUCUGAGAGGGACGCCUUUGUCAGCCGGUGGAUAUAGCAGCAUGUCCUCUGUGUAGAUACAGCCAUCUAAACAGAUCAGCCACUCCAAAUCACACAGGAAAUACAAGCAAUGGAAAACUUGUUUUUUGUGUGUGUAGAUAAGGCCUAAAGGGCAAAGUUCAGGAAAACCACUGUAAUAAUGGAAAGAUAGCUCUAUUGUCUGCAAAAUGCAUGUGGCGUGAACAGAUUUCUUUGCUUUUUUUUAAUGAUGAAUGAAUGUUUAGUAAUGUUUACAGUAAUUUACAUAUAAUGGAGGCCAUA